CCGUAACUAUAACGGUCCUAAGGUAGCGAAAUUCCUUGUCGGGUAAGUUCCGACCUGCACGAAAGGCGCAACGACUUGGGCGCUGUCUCGACCAUGGACCCGGUGAAAUUGCACUGGUCGUGAAGAUGCGACUUACCCGCGGAAGGACGGAAAGACCCCGUGAACCUUCACUGCAGCUUGGCAUUGGCCGCUGGUCCCGCGUGUAGAGGAUAGGCAGGAGGCACAGAUCCGGAGGCGCCAGCCCCCGGGGAGCCGCCCUUGGAAUACUGCCCUCGCGCGACCGGCGUCCUAACCCGAGGCCGUCAACCGGCUCGGGGACCGUGCCAGGCGGGCAGUUUGACUGGGGCGGUCGCCUCCUAAAGGGUAACGGAGGCGCGCGAAGGUCCGCUCGGGACGGUCGGCAACCGUCCUUUUGAAUGCAAGAGUACAAGCGGGCUUGACUGCGAGGCCCACAAGCCGAGCAGGUGCGAAAGCAGGCUCUAGUGAUCCGGCGGCCCCGAGUGGGUGGGCCGUCGCUCAACGGAUAAAAGGUACUCCGGGGAUAACAGGCUGAUCUUGCCCAAGAGUCCACAUCGACGGCAAGGUUUGGCACCUCGAUGUCGGCUCAUCGCAUCCUGGGGCUGGAGCAGGUCCCAAGGGUACGGCUGUUCGCCGUUUAAAGCGGUACGCGAGCUGGGUUCAGAACGUCGUGAGACAGUUCGGUCCCUAUCCUCCGUGGGCGCAGGAGAAUCGAUGGAGGCUGCCCCCAGUACGAGAGGACCGGGGUGGACGCACCUCCGGUGAACCGGUUGUCGACCAACGGCACGGCCGGGUAGCCGCGUGCGGCGCGGAUAACCGCUGAAGGCAUCUAAGCGGGAAGCCGUUCCAGGGAUUAGUUCUCCUUCCGGUAAGGGCCCAGGUAGACUACCUGGUCGAUAGACGGCAGGUGCAAGGGCGGCGACGUCCUCAGCCGAGCCGCACUAAUCGCCCGAGCUCUUCCGGAA
Molecule: ribosomal RNA, 983 nt
Filed under: human gut metagenome
Description: bacterial LSU rRNA
Rfam family: Bacterial large subunit ribosomal RNA
Source: RNAcentral